This 498-nucleotide ribosomal RNA is filed under the name uncultured bacterium. RNAcentral describes it as "bacterial SSU rRNA". It matches the Rfam family "Bacterial small subunit ribosomal RNA", at positions 29 to 518 of the family's 1533-position model. The record is from RNAcentral.
AUGAACGCUGGCGGCGUGCCUAACACAUGCAAGUCGAACGGGACUAUCAAGUGAUGUUUCGGACUGAACUUUUAGUUAGUGGCGGACGGGUGAGUAACGCGUGGACAACCUGCCUCUCACUGGGGGAUAGCAGCUGGAAACGGCUGGUAAUACCGCAUGCGUUCAAUGUGCCGCAUGACACAUUGAAGAAAGAUUUAUCGGUGAGAGAUGGGUCCGCGUCUGAUUAGCCAGUUGGCGGGGUAACGGCCCACCAAAGCGACGAUCAGUAGCCGGCCUGAGAGGGCGGACGGCCACAUUGGGACUGAGACACGGCCCAGACUCCUACGGGAGGCAGCAGUGGGGGAUAUUGCACAAUGGGCGCAAGCCUGAUGCAGCGACGCCGCCGUGAGUGAAGAAGUAUUUCGGUAUGUAAAGCUCUAUCAGCAGGGAAGAAAGGCCCGCAAGGGAGAUGACGGUACCUGACUAAGAAGCCCCGGCUAACUACGUGCCAGCCGCUGC